RNAcentral lists this ribosomal RNA (1467 nucleotides) under Salmonella enterica subsp. enterica. RNAcentral describes it as "partial 23S ribosomal RNA". It matches the Rfam family "Bacterial large subunit ribosomal RNA", at positions 78 to 1503 of the family's 2925-position model. The record is from RNAcentral. Lineage: Bacteria; Pseudomonadati; Pseudomonadota; Gammaproteobacteria; Enterobacterales; Enterobacteriaceae.
CCGGUAAGGUGAUAUGAACCGUUAUAACCGGCGAUUUCCGAAUGGGGAAACCCAGUGUGAUUCGUCACACUAUCAUUAACUGAAUCCAUAGGUUAAUGAGGCGAACCGGGGGAACUGAAACAUCUAAGUACCCCGAGGAAAAGAAAUCAACCGAGAUUCCCCCAGUAGCGGCGAGCGAACGGGGAGGAGCCCAGAGCCUGAAUCAGCAUGUGUGUUAGUGGAAGCGUCUGGAAAGGCGCGCGAUACAGGGUGACAGCCCCGUACACAAAAGCGCAUGUGCUGUGAGCUCGAUGAGUAGGGCGGGACACGUGGUAUCCUGUCUGAAUAUGGGGGGACCAUCCUCCAAGGCUAAAUACUCCUGACUGACCGAUAGUGAACCAGUACCGUGAGGGAAAGGCGAAAAGAACCCCGGCGAGGGGAGUGAAAAAGAACCUGAAACCGUGUACGUACAAGCAGUGGGAGCACAGGUUUACCUGUGUGACUGCGUACCUUUUGUAUAAUGGGUCAGCGACUUAUAUUCUGUAGCAAGGUUAACCGAAUAGGGGAGCCGGAGGGAAACCGAGUCUUAAUUGGGCGUUAAGUUGCAGGGUAUAGACCCGAAACCCGGUGAUCUAGCCAUGGGCAGGUUGAAGGUUGGGUAACACUAACUGGAGGACCGAACCGACUAAUGUUGAAAAAUUAGCGGAUGACCUGUGGCUGGGGGUGAAAGGCCAAUCAAACCGGGAGAUAGCUGGUUCUCCCCGAAAGCUAUUUAGGUAGCGCCUCGUGAAUUCAUCUCCGGGGGUAGAGCACUGUUUCGGCUAGGGGGCCAUCCCGGCUUACCAACCCGAUGCAAACUGCGAAUACCGGAGAAUGUUAUCACGGGAGACACACGGCGGGUGCUAACGUCCGUCGUGAAGAGGGAAACAACCCAGACCGCCAGCUAAGGUCCCAAAGUCAUGGUUAAGUGGGAAACGAUGUGGGAAGGCCCAGACAGCCAGGAUGUUGGCUUAGAAGCAGCCAUCAUUUAAAGAAAGCGUAAUAGCUCACUGGUCGAGUCGGCCUGCGCGGAAGAUGUAACGGGGCUAAACCAUGCACCGAAGCUGCGGCAGCGAACGUAUCACCCAAGACAACUUUACGGAGUUGACGAUUGACGGAGCGAAGCGACGUCAAAGCGUUCAUUAAAGUCGAGUUGGCUUAGGGAUACGUUCGUUGGGUAGGGGAGCGUUCUGUAAGCCUGUGAAGGUGUGUCGUGAGGCAUGCUGGAGGUAUCAGAAGUGCGAAUGCUGACAUAAGUAACGAUAAAGCGGGUGAAAAGCCCGCUCGCCGGAAGACCAAGGGUUCCUGUCCAACGUUAAUCGGGGCAGGGUGAGUCGACCCCUAAGGCGAGGCCGAAAGGCGUAGUCGAUGGGAAACGGGUUAAUAUUCCCGUACUUGGUGUUACUGCGAAGGGGGGACGGAGAAGGCUAUGUUGGCCGGGCGACGGUU